This 427-nucleotide ribosomal RNA is filed under the name uncultured bacterium. Its description in RNAcentral is "bacterial SSU rRNA". It matches the Rfam family "Bacterial small subunit ribosomal RNA", at positions 355 to 774 of the family's 1533-position model. The record is from RNAcentral.
UAGGGAAUUUUGGACAAUGGGGGCAACCCUGAUCCAGCCAUCCCGCGUGUGCGAUGAAGGCCUUCGGGUUGUAAAGCACUUUUGGCAGGGAAGAAACAGCCUGGGCUAAUAUCCCGGGCGACUGACGGUACCUGCAGAAUAAGCACCGGCUAACUACGUGCCAGCAGCCGCGGUAAUACGUAGGGUGCAAGCGUUAAUCGGAAUUACUGGGCGUAAAGCGUGCGCAGGCGGUUCGGAAAGAAAGGUGUGAAAUCCCAGGGCUUAACCUUGGAACUGCACUUUUAACUACCGGGCUAGAGUACGUCAGAGGGGGGUAGAAUUCCACGUGUAGCAGUGAAAUGCGUAGAGAUGUGGAGGAAUACCGAUGGCGAAGGCAGCCCCCUGGGAUGAUACUGACGCUCAUGCACGAAAGCGUGGGGAGCAAACA